Non-coding RNA from Marmota flaviventris (yellow-bellied marmot), 441 nucleotides. Lineage: Eukaryota; Metazoa; Chordata; Mammalia; Rodentia; Sciuridae. The record is from RefSeq and is a predicted model, not a curated record.
GGAAGAAGUCUGCAGGGUUUUGGUAUUCCUCACCACAGUAACCUGAGAACAAAAGCCACCUAAGAACAUAACCUAAUGGUCUUAGAAAAUAAAGAGGACUCACUUCCAGAGAGUGAGGGAGUGGGGGAUCCCAAGGUGUGUCUGCACAGAUAUCAAGCAACACUCCUGUGGAACCCUGUACUCUACCAAGGAGUCUAUGAAUGAAGGAUCUAGUGCGUGAAAAGGUCAACCACACCUGCCGAUUGAAAGUACUCCAGAGCCCCCUGUGCAGGACCAUGAUACAUUAGUUUUCCUGAAGCCAAUAAGGUGAGGCUGUCAAACAGCUUGAAAAUGGAAUACCGAGGCUGUUGAAUGGUGAAGAUGAUUGUUCGAUCACGAUUAGACAUCCUAUGCAGAAAGAAGAAAAAUAAUAAGCCAUUAAAAUCUGAUUCUUGUUAAAAU